UACCUCUCAGGGUCACACCUGGAAAGUUUCCUGUAUCCUACCAGUUUUGACUAUGGGAGGGAGAGUCAGGCAGGAGCAUAUCCAUUCCAUUCCUAGCUUGGGCAGUGGCUAGCUAGUGGAAGGCAAUCUGCCACAAAU
Molecule: small nucleolar RNA, 138 nt
Organism: Tachyglossus aculeatus (Australian echidna)
Lineage: Eukaryota; Metazoa; Chordata; Mammalia; Monotremata; Tachyglossidae
Source: RefSeq, a predicted model, not a curated record